RNAcentral lists this long non-coding RNA (3729 nucleotides) under Solanum tuberosum (potato). RNAcentral describes it as "long non-coding RNA (STUB_LNC010264)". The record is from RNAcentral. Lineage: Eukaryota; Viridiplantae; Streptophyta; Magnoliopsida; Solanales; Solanaceae.
AAUAAAGAAGUUUUGGAACUGGAUGGUGGCCAUUUUGUGUAGUGGGAGCUUCAAUCUUGAUGGUAUCAAUAAUGGAAGAAUGCCAAUUUUGGUGAGUAGCAAAGAUUUUAGGCAUAAAAGACUUGUCCAAAUGGACAAUGUAAGUAGACCUCUCUGCUGAGGUUCCUAAUAACAAAGAAGGACCAAAAAGACACCAAGAAAACAGAAGAAAAGGUACUCCUAACAUAGUUUUUUUCUCUACACUUUGUGUUAUUCCUUCUAUAACACAGCCUCCUUUAAAUAUACACCUUAAGAAACAGUCCUAGUUGACUGAUUUUGUGAAGUAAACUUGUUGGUAAGCUGUCAUUUUCUAAGACUUGUUGGUCAGUGGACCUGUGGAGACUUUUGCUAGUCUAAGUUGUGUGCUAACUGUGUUCACACUACACAGGAAGAAUGUUGCACCAUAUUUUUAAGUGUUCAAUUGAGAUUGGAAUAUAUAUCAAUCAAAAUACUAAUGAUUAAGUAACAAACAGUAUAUAGACAAAUAUUAUAUUCUUGUUGCUUUAAUGCAUGCACUAGAUAAAUUUUUCACAUAAAUGCUUAUAAGCUUUUCUUUUAUAUAUAUAUCUCCCUUUUUUUAGUUAUAUUAUAUUGUGAGUAAAUUGAGAAUCUUUUGCAAGUAAAAAGUUAUAUUUUUCUUUAAAUGACCCUACUAUAUUGUGAUUGAUUGGUAUGUCACAUAUCAAAAAAUGACCCUACCAUAUUGUGAUUGAUGAUUAGUAUGUCGCAUAUUAAAAAAUGACCCUACCAUAUUGUGAUUGAUGAUUAGUAUGUCGCAUAUUAAAAAAUGACCCUACCAUAUUGUGAUUGAUGAUUAGUAUGUCGCAUAUUAAAAAAUGACCCUACCUUAUUGUAAUUGAUUGGGAGGUACAUACUUUCUAAUUGUAUGCAUCCCCUCUCCCUCCUAUAUACACAGAGAGACUCUCUUUUUCUGUAUAUCUAUAUACUCAGUUCUAGUGGAGUAUAUGUACUAUUUUUGUACUCUUUUUUAUAUUAGUGAAUUCCUCAUACUUGAUCAAACCAUGUUAAAUUAUUGUCUCGUUUGAUAUAUUCUUUUUGUUAUUUCAUUUAUAUUUCGUACAAAAUUUGUAUUGUUAAAUGUUAGCUUCCACAUAACAUCUAAGUAUUUCAGUCCUAUUGUGUGAAUGUUGCUACUGAUUAAUGACCCCUAUUGCCAAUCAAACAUCUAUUCAACAAAGUCUUGGUUUUUUGGUAACACAAGAAAAUAAAACAUUAUUCAACAAUUACUUCAAACAUGCACAUGCUUUGCCAGAAUACUUCCAGCUACUUUAACAGAACCCUCUUGAGGAGAGUUACAAACUUACAAAUGCAACAGUAUUAUCAACUGCAGCAUUUCAGUUUGGGGCAUCAAUCAUUUUCAUUUGGGGCAUCAAGCGCUGGAGCAACUACUAUAGGACUUCUUACGGUGUGAUGACCGUUCUUUUCCACCCAAGUGAUUGAACCAGAUUGUGCUUGGUCAAAUUCAAUGCCUCUGUAACGUAUGGUAAGAGUGUAGUCCUGCUUCUGAUGUUUUUUCUCAAACACCAAGGUCUGUGGAGAGAUAGAAAUUGUCGAGUUUAUUGGUGCUUUCACUUUUACUUUGUACUUAGCUGCACCGGGUCCAACAUUUGUGACUGUCCUCGUGAAUUUCUGCUCCAACCAAGCAUAGUCCCCAUUUGGGAUAUAGAGAGCAAUAAAUGAUGGGUAAUUGAUAUCAUCGGAUGGAUUUGCACAGUUGUGCUUAGCUGAUGAUCUAGCAAUUGUCUUGAACUGCUUUUCUGUGAAAUUCAUGGAGCAGAGAAGAUUCACGUAGUCUUGUGGAGUUGCAUCAUAUAUCAGGCCUGGAUCAACUGCACGGUUUGGAUCAACAAGUCCAGCUCCCAUGGAUAAAGAUGUAGCAUAAUUGGUUCUGAGGUAAUCCAUGGUCUUGAUGGGCUUUUCAGUAUUAUCCAAAGGGCUUGCAGUGGUCAUCAUGGCAGAUCGAAUAGCUGAAGGACUCCAAUCAGGAUGUACUCCUUUUAGCAUUGCAGCAAUUCCGGAAAUGUGAGGAGCAGCCAUCGAAGUGCCUGAAAGAAGCCUGUAAUCACUAUCCAAAAAUGUAUUGACACCAAUGAUUGCAGCUGAAGUGUUCGAUGGCCAGGCUGCUAAAAUUAACUCCCCUGGUGCCAUAAUAUCUGGCUUUGCAACUCGUAGAUAGCUUAGGGAGGGGCCUCUCGAGGAAAAUGCAGAAACAACUGGAGCAGGCUUAACAGCAAAAUGUGUUUCCUGGAAACUGAUGCUGACUUUUGGUUUAGCACUUGUUUUUGCAUAGUCUACCACCUUUUCCCAAUCCUUGCUGCUAAUUACAGCUCCAGGAUUCGUAAAAUAAUUGGAUGUCAAUACAUCCGGAUCUCCAUAAACAUAGAGUGCGCCACCAAAUUUUGCCUCUGAGAUAGCCCCCAUUUGAUCAGAGACUGAUAAGUCUUCUUGUGCAGUGCUAUAACACAUCGUGAUGCUACGUGCUUUAUUAGGGACUUGGGCUAAAUCAUCAGAUGACUCACAAGCGGAUAAGCUGUCAUUGUAAACCAAAUCAAAAUCCUUUAUGGUGGUUCUCACUGGAAACAAGCUAAAUCCAGUAAUCUUUAAGCCAUUCCCAAAAGUUAUAGUCCCGGAAAAUGAUCGGUCAGUACUGCCUGAUGCCACAGUAAAGAUCCAGGGGACUCCAUUGGAUAAAGUUCCCAUUUCAGGACCAUUAUUCCCAGCUGAAGCAGAGACUAACACACCCUUCAUCAUGGCACCAAAAGAAGCUAUUGCAAUAGAAUCUUCAUACAAUGGACCAAAACCAUACCCAUAAGAAAUUGAUAGUAUGUCAACGCCAUCUGCAACAGCUUGGUCCAUAGCAGCAAUUAAAUCAGAAGUGACGGUCCCUUCUUCAAAGCUAAACUUAUAUACAGCAAUCCUAGCUUGUGGCGCAAUACCUCUUGCUGUUCCAGGAGCAUAUCCAAAAUAUGAAACUCCUUUAACAGAACUACCAGCAGCAAUGGAAGCAACAUGAGUGCCAUGACCUCUCAUAUCCCUUGCAGAAUUCAUGGAAAGAACAAUAGUAGGAUCACUAGCCAAAAGCCCCUUAUUGAAAUAAUUCGCCCCAAUGAGUUUCCUGUUGCAUAAAGAAGAAUUGAAAUCUGUUCCUGGCUUACAAAUUCCCUUCCACUUUUUUGGUAUUGCAGAUAGUCCAUCAUCUCUGAAACUAGCAGAUUCUGGCCAGACACCAGUGUCGAGUACUCCGAUAAUCACAUCUUCACCAAAACCAGACGCCGGCCAUAGCCCAGAAGCAGGAUUAAGCUUAAGAAACUCAGGGGAAUGUGUAGUGUGAGCUUCAACAGGCCUAUCUUUAUAAGCUGAAAGAAAGCCUGGUGACUUCUUGAGAGCUUCAAAUUCAUCUUUAGACAAAACAGCACUGAAUCCAUGAAGCACAUUGUCAUAAGAAUAAAGAAGCUUUGGAACUGGGAUGGUGGCUAUUUUGUGUAGUGGGAGCUUCAAUCUUGAUGGGUAUCAAUAAUGGAAGAAUGCCAAUUUUGGUGAGUAGCAAAGAUUUUAGGCAUAAAAGACUUAUCCAAAUGGACAAUGUAGGUAGACCUCUCAGCUGAGGUUCCUAAAAACAAAGAAAGACACAAAGAAAAGAGAAGAAAAGGUAGUAUUGUCUUCAUAGUU